RNAcentral lists this ribosomal RNA (520 nucleotides) under uncultured Glomus. RNAcentral's name for it is "SSU rRNA". It matches the Rfam family "Eukaryotic small subunit ribosomal RNA", at positions 569 to 1088 of the family's 1831-position model. The record is from RNAcentral. Lineage: Eukaryota; Fungi; Glomeromycota; Glomeromycetes; Glomerales; Glomeraceae.
AGCAGCCGCGGUAACUCCAGCUCCAAUAGCGUAUAUUAAAGUUGUUGCAGUUAAAAAAGCUCGUAGUUGAAUUUUCGGGACCAAUAUGUCGGUCGUGCCUCGGUACGUACUGGUGUUAUUGGUUUCUCUCUUCUGAGGAUCCUUGAUGUCAUUAAUUUGGUGUCUUGGGAAAUCAGGACUGUUACCUUGAAAAAAUUAGAGUGUUUAAAGCAGGCAUACGCUUGAAUACAUUAGCAUGGAAUAAUGAAAUAGGACGUUCGAUUCUAUUUUGUUGGUUUCUAGGAUCGACGUAAUGAUUAAUAGGGAUAGUUGGGGGCAUUAGUAUUCAAUUGUCAGAGGUGAAAUUCUUGGAUUUAUUGAAGACUAACUACUGCGAAAGCAUUUGCCAAGGAUGUUUUCAUUAAUCAAGAACGAAAGUUAGGGGAUCGAAGACGAUCAGAUACCGUCGUAGUCUUAACCAUAAAACUAUGCCGACUAGGGAUCGGAUGAUGUUAAUUUUUUAGUGACUCAUUCGGCGCCU